RNAcentral lists this ribosomal RNA (253 nucleotides) under uncultured bacterium. RNAcentral describes it as "partial 16S ribosomal RNA". It matches the Rfam family "Bacterial small subunit ribosomal RNA", at positions 524 to 776 of the family's 1533-position model. The record is from RNAcentral.
UACGGAGGGUGCAAGCGUUGUUCGGAAUUACUGGGCGUAAAGGGCGCGUAGGUGGCCUUCUAAGUUGAACGUGAAAUCCCUGGGCUCAACCCAGGAACUGCGUCCAAGACUGGGAGGCUUGAAUCCGGGAGAGGGAUGCGGAAUUCCAGGUGUAGCGGUGAAAUGCGUAGAUAUCUGGAGGAACACCGGUGGCGAAGGCGGCAUCCUGGACCGGUAUUGACACUGAGGCGCGAAAGCCAGGGGAGCAAACGGG